Molecule: long non-coding RNA, 524 nt
Filed under: Salmo salar (Atlantic salmon)
Lineage: Eukaryota; Metazoa; Chordata; Actinopteri; Salmoniformes; Salmonidae
Description: lncRNA (ENSSSAG00000090967.1)
Source: RNAcentral
AUUUACAAGGUGGAAGUAGCUGAAGGCAGUACAGGAGCUGAAAAGAGAUGCUGAUUUGGCAUGCAUACUCCUGGACAGGACAUUGUAGUUUGUAAAACUACACAAAGGAUAAAGAGUGCUAUAAAAGCGGGAGACAGGCAGGGAGACAGCACCAAAAACCUGCCUGUCUAUGUUGAAACAGCAGACCCAGGGAGGAGGAAGACAGAGUGAAGGUACACAGCAAACCUUUUACUUGUUUUCACCUACACACUUUUAUUGCCCUUGGGUCCAGUGGACACAAACACCACAUAUGUAAUAAACAUGUAUAGAGGGUACACAGUGUGCACUCAAUGAAAAUGUGUUAUUUUACAUGUUGUGAUGAGCCAAGGCCAAUGAGUCUCAGGUUGAAAAACAUUGAAAAUGGGUCCCACAGACGCGCACAUCACACAAGAAUUAACAUAGCAGUCAACCUAUUAUUACCUGUGGUCUCAAAUUAUUAAACAUGUCUGAACAAAGUGUAUUUUCGAUUUCUACUUCCAAUGGAG